GGGCUGGGGCUCUUCCCAAGGAGCAGGGAACUGCCUCAACCUGACCCUGGCACUCACGGUGGUGUUUUGGUUUUAUUUUUUUUGGUUUUUUUGUUUUUUUUUUUCUGCCCAAGCUGCAACCAGGACAACCAGGGCACUCGUGGCUGGCCCUGCACCUCUGCCUUAUGCAAUGGGGAUUAAUUGGAGUAGGUGGAGAAGAAUUUCUUGGCUGCUUAUCAAGGGUGAGGCUCCAGGAGCUGCUUGGUGGCUCGUGAUAGGUGAGAGGAGCUGGGGGCACUGCCCAGCUCAGGGAAAUCAUCUCCUCAAGCCCUGAUAAAGUUCAGCUCCCUCCCACAGAGCUGCUCCAGCUCCGGGCCUCGGGCUCAGCAGCAGCCACCCAGCAGAUUCCUCGGGCAGUCUGUCCUCCUAAAUUCUGAUUUUGGUUAUUCCCGGGCUGUUUGUUCUCCUAAAUUCUGAUUUUGGUUAUUCCUUAGGCAGCUUGUCCUCCUAAAUUCUUAUUUAGGUUAUUCCUUAGGCAGUUUGUUCUCCUAAAUUCUUAUUUAGGUUAUUCCUUAGGCAGUUUGUUCUCCUAAAUUCUUAUUUUGGUUAUUCCUUAGGCAGUUUGUCCUCCUAAAUUCUUAUUUUGGUUAUUCCUGGGCUGUUUGUUUUCUUAAAUUCUUAUUUAGGUUAUUCCUUGGGCAGUUUGUCCUCCUGAAUUCUUACUUUGGUUAUUCCUGGGCUGUUUGUUCUCCUGAAUUCUGAUUUUGGUAAUUCCUCGGGCAGUUUGUACUCUUUAAUCCAGGUUCUCAUUAUUCCAUGGCCAGUUUGUCCUCUUAAAUUCAGGUUUUGGUUAUUCCUUGGGCAGUCUGUCCUCCUAAAUUCUGAUUCUGGUUAUUCCUUGGGCACUUUGUCCUGCUGAAUCCAGGUUUUGGUUGUUCCUCGUGCUUUUAGUUCUGUUCAAUCCUGAUUUUUGUUAUCCCUGGGAUUUUUAUUUCUUGAUUUUGGUUAUUCUUUGGGCAGUUUGUCCUCUUGAAUCUUGCUUUUGGUUACUCCUUGGGUUGCUGGAUCCUGGUUUUAUCUGCUCCUUGGGCUGUUAGUCCUGUUGAACCUGACUUUUGGUUAUUCCUUGUAUUGUUAGUCCUGGUUUUAUCUGCUCCUUGGGCUCUUAGUCUUGUUGAACCUGAGUUUUGGUUAUUCCUUGGUUUGUUAGUCCUGUUGAACCUGGGUUUAGGUUAUUCCUUGGAUUGUUAAUCCUGUUGAACCUGACUUUUGGUUAUUCUUUGGGCAGUUAGUCCUGGUUUUAUCUGUUCCUUGGGCUCUUAGUUCUGCUUUACCCACAGGUGAAUAUUGGCUGAUGCAAACUGCAGCCUGUGUGGGCUCCUCUGGGAGCUUUGAACCCCUUCAGAGCAGCUCAGAUCCACC
Molecule: non-coding RNA, 1401 nt
Organism: Sturnus vulgaris (Common starling)
Lineage: Eukaryota; Metazoa; Chordata; Aves; Passeriformes; Sturnidae
Source: RefSeq, a predicted model, not a curated record